This 253-nucleotide ribosomal RNA is filed under the name uncultured bacterium. RNAcentral describes it as "partial 16S ribosomal RNA". It matches the Rfam family "Bacterial small subunit ribosomal RNA", at positions 524 to 776 of the family's 1533-position model. The record is from RNAcentral.
UACGAAGGGGGCUAGCGUUGCUCGGAAUCACUGGGCGUAAAGGGUGCGUAGGCGGGUCUUUAAGUCAGGGGUGAAAUCCUGGAGCUCAACUCCAGAACUGCCUUUGAUACUGAAGAUCUUGAGUCCUGGAGAGGGUCGUGGAAUUCCCGGUGUAGCGGUGAAAUGCGUAGAGAUCGGGAGGAACACCAGAGGCGAAGGCGGCGACCUGGAUAGGCACUGACACUCAACUACGAAAGCGUGGGGAGCAAACAGG